This 1112-nucleotide ribosomal RNA is filed under the name Halorubrum sp. RNAcentral's name for it is "bacterial SSU rRNA". It matches the Rfam family "Archaeal small subunit ribosomal RNA", at positions 145 to 1255 of the family's 1478-position model. The record is from RNAcentral. Lineage: Archaea; Methanobacteriati; Methanobacteriota; Halobacteria; Halobacteriales; Haloferacaceae.
GCUAAUAGUGGACACCACAGUCCACCUGGAAUGAAGACUGUGCCAAACGCUCCGGCGCCGAAGGAUGUGGCUGCGGCCGAUUAGGUAGACGGUGGGGUAACGGCCCACCGUGCCAAUAAUCGGUACGGGUCAUGAGAGUGAGAACCCGGAGACGGAAUCUGAGACAAGAUUCCGGGCCCUACGGGGCGCAGCAGGCGCUAAACCUUUACACUGCACGACAGUGCGAUAAGGGAAUCCCAAGUGCACAGGCAUAGAGCCUGUGCUUUUGUACACCCUAGGGCGGUGUACGAAUAAGGGCUGGGCAAGACCGGUGCCAGCCGCCGCGGUAAUACCGGCAGCCCAAAUGAUGGCCGAUCUUAUUGGGCCUAAAGCGUCCGUAGCUGGCCGCACAAGUCCAUCGGGAAAUCCACCUGCCCAACAGGUGGACGCCCGGUGGAAACUGUGUGGCUUGGGACCGGAAGGCGCGACGGGUACGUCCGGGGUAGGAGUGAAAUCCCGUAAUCCUGGACGGACCGCCGAUGGCGAAAGCACGUCGCGAAAACGGAUCCGACAGUGAGGGACGAAAGCCAGGGUCUCGAACCGGAUUAGAUACCCGGGUAGUCCUGGCCGUAAACAAUGUCUGUUAGGUGUGGCUCCCACUACGAGUGGGUGCUGUGCCGUAGGGAAGCCGCUAAACAGACCGCCUGGGAAGUACGUCCGCAAGGAUGAAACUUAAAGGAAUUGGCGGGGGAGCACUACAACCGGAGGAGCCUGCGGUUUAAUUGGACUCAACGCCGGACAUCUCACCAGCAUCGACUGUAAUAAUGACGACCAGGUUGAUGACCUUGUCCGAGUUUCAGAGAGGAGGUGCAUGGCCGCCGUCAGCUCGUACCGUGAGGCGUCCUGUUAAGUCAGGCAACGAGCGAGACCCGCAUCCCUACUUGCCAGCAGUACUUCACAGUAGCUGGGGACAGUACGGAGACCGCCGUGGCCAACACGGAGGAAGGAACGGGCAACGGUAGGUCAGUAUGCCCCGAAUGUGCUGGGCAACACGCGGGCUACAAUGGUCGAGACAAAGGGUUCCAACUCCGAAAGGAGACGGUAAUCUCAGAAACUCGAUCGUAGUUCGGAUU